This 339-nucleotide long non-coding RNA is filed under the name Zonotrichia albicollis (white-throated sparrow). Its description in RNAcentral is "lncRNA (ENSZALG00000000968.1)". The record is from RNAcentral. Lineage: Eukaryota; Metazoa; Chordata; Aves; Passeriformes; Passerellidae.
CCCGGCUGGCCGGGAAGGAGCUCCGGUUCCACAAGGAGAAGAAGGACAUCCUGCUGCUGGCAGCUGGCCAGCUGGGCUCAGCACACUCCUCCGGCUGCUGAACCCCCAAAUCCCACCCUGGGUGAUCCCCUAAACCCUUUCCCCAAAUCCCAGCCCGUUUGCACAUUUAGAAGAAAUUUAGGGAAAAAGCUCCUGAAUGGAUUUUAGCAAGUUUUAUCCUGGUUUUUAGAGCUACUUCUCAUUCUCUUCAUUCCCUCAUUCCUCCCUUCAGAGCUUUUUACACUCUUCUGGUUGCUGAACCCCCAAAUCCCACCCUUGGUUGAUCCCUAAACCCUUUCC